UGUAGUCAUAUGCUUGUCUCAAAGAUUAAGCCAUGCAUGUCUAAGUAUAAGCAAUUAUACCGCGAAACUGCGAAUGGCUCAUUAUAUAAGUUAUCGUUUAUUUGAUAAUACUUUACUACUUGGAUAACCGUGGUAAUUCUAGAGCUAAUACAUGCUGAAAAUCCCGACUUCGGAAGGGAUGUAUUUAUUAGAUUAAAAACCAAUGCCCCUCGGGGCUCUCUGGUGAAUCAUGAUAACCAGUCGAAUCGACAGGCCUUGUGCCGGCGAUGGCUCAUUCAAAUUUCUUCCCUAUCAACUUUCGAUGUUUGGGUAUUGGCCAAACAUGGUGGCAACGGGUAACGGGGAAUA
RNAcentral lists this ribosomal RNA (348 nucleotides) under uncultured fungus. Its description in RNAcentral is "SSU rRNA". It matches the Rfam family "Eukaryotic small subunit ribosomal RNA", at positions 21 to 371 of the family's 1831-position model. Lineage: Eukaryota; Fungi. The record is from RNAcentral.